RNAcentral lists this ribosomal RNA (520 nucleotides) under uncultured bacterium. RNAcentral describes it as "bacterial SSU rRNA". It matches the Rfam family "Archaeal small subunit ribosomal RNA", at positions 345 to 866 of the family's 1478-position model. The record is from RNAcentral.
AACCUCCGCAAUGUGAGAAAUCGCGACGGGGGGAUCCCAAGUGCCAUUCCUAACGGGAUGGCUUUUCAUUAGUGUAAAGAGCUUUUGGAAUAAGGGCUGGGCAAGACCGGUGCUAGCCGCCGCGGUAACACCGGCAGCUCUAGUGGUAGCAGUUUUUAUUGGGCCUAAAGCGUCCGUAGCCGGUUUAAUAAGUCUCUGGUGAAAUCCUGUAGCUUAACUGUGGGAAUUGCUGGAGAUACUAUUAGACUUGAGACCGGGAGAGGUUAGAGGUACUCCCAGGGUAGAGGCGAAAUUCUGUAAUCCUGGGAGGACCGCCUGUUGCGAAGGCGUCUAACUGGAACGGUUCUGACGGUGAGGGACGAAAGUUAGGGCGCGAACCGGAUUAGAUACCCGGGUAGUCCUAACUGUAAACGAUGCGGACUUGGUGUUGGGGUGGCUUUGAGCUGCUUCAGUGCCGAAGGGAAGCUGUUAAGUCCGCCGCCUGGGAAGUACGGUCGCAAGACUGAAACUUAAAGGAAGU